This 84-nucleotide ribosomal RNA is filed under the name Phaeostigma salicifolium. RNAcentral describes it as "Ajania salicifolia 5.8S ribosomal RNA". The record is from RNAcentral. Lineage: Eukaryota; Viridiplantae; Streptophyta; Magnoliopsida; Asterales; Asteraceae.
CAAACGACUCUCGGCAACGGAUAUCUCGGCUCACGCAUCGAUGAAGAACUUUUGGCCGAGGGCACGUCUGCCUGGGCGUCACGC